Molecule: ribosomal RNA, 642 nt
Filed under: Klebsiella pneumoniae
Lineage: Bacteria; Pseudomonadati; Pseudomonadota; Gammaproteobacteria; Enterobacterales; Enterobacteriaceae
Also listed under: 1 other name
Description: partial 23S ribosomal RNA
Rfam family: Bacterial large subunit ribosomal RNA
Source: RNAcentral
AAGCGUGGACGCCAGUCUGCGUGGAGCCAACCUUGAAAUACCACCCUUUAAUGUUUGAUGUUCUAACGUUGGCCCCUGACCGGGGUUGCGGACAGUGUCUGGUGGGUAGUUUGACUGGGGCGGUCUCCUCCCAAAGCGUAACGGAGGAGCACGAAGGUUAGCUAAUCCUGGUCGGACAUCAGGAGGUUAGUGCAAUGGCAUAAGCUAGCUUGACUGCGAGCGUGACGGCGCGAGCAGGUGCGAAAGCAGGUCAUAGUGAUCCGGUGGUUCUGAAUGGAAGGGCCAUCGCUCAACGGAUAAAAGGUACUCCGGGGAUAACAGGCUGAUACCGCCCAAGAGUUCAUAUCGACGGCGGUGUUUGGCACCUCGAUGUCGGCUCAUCACAUCCUGGGGCUGAAGUAGGUCCCAAGGGUAUGGCUGUUCGCCAUUUAAAGUGGUACGCGAGCUGGGUUUAGAACGUCGUGAGACAGUUCGGUCCCUAUCUGCCGUGGGCGCUGGAGAAUUGAGGGGGGCUGCUCCUAGUACGAGAGGACCGGAGUGGACGCAUCACUGGUGUUCGGGUUGUCAUGCCAAUGGCACUGCCCGGUAGCUAAAUGCGGAAGAGAUAAGUGCUGAAAGCAUCUAAGCACGAAACUUGCCCCG